RNAcentral lists this small RNA (110 nucleotides) under Acidocella sp. RNAcentral's name for it is "Guanidine-I sequence". It matches the Rfam family "Guanidine-I riboswitch aptamer". From Rfam's summary of the family: This family represents a conserved RNA structure found upstream of the ykkC and yxkD genes in Bacillus subtilis and related genes in other bacteria. RNAcentral also lists the same sequence under 1 other name. The record is from RNAcentral. Lineage: Bacteria; Pseudomonadati; Pseudomonadota; Alphaproteobacteria; Acetobacterales; Acidocellaceae.
UUCGAAGGCCGCUAGGGUUCCGGCCGGGCAAAUGCCCGGCGCUGGUCCGAGAGCGGCGGUCAUGCGGGAGACAUCCGCAUGAUGCACGGCGGGACAAAAGCCCGGGAGAG